RNAcentral lists this ribosomal RNA (424 nucleotides) under uncultured bacterium. RNAcentral describes it as "bacterial SSU rRNA". It matches the Rfam family "Bacterial small subunit ribosomal RNA", at positions 30 to 456 of the family's 1533-position model. The record is from RNAcentral.
AUUGAACGCUGGCGGCAUGCCUUACACAUGCAAGUCGAACGGCAGCGGACCUUCGGGUGCCGGCGAGUGGCGAACGGGUGAGUAAUAUAUCGGAACGUACCUUUCAGUGGGGGAUAACGUAGCGAAAGUUACGCUAAUACCGCAUAUUCUGUGAGCAGGAAAGCAGGGGAUCGCAAGACCUUGCGCUGAUUGAGCGGCCGAUAUCAGAUUAGCUAGUUGGUGAGGUAAAGGCUCACCAAGGCGACGAUCUGUAGCGGGUCUGAGAGGAUGAUCCGCCACACUGGAACUGAGACACGGUCCAGACUCCUACGGGAGGCAGCAGUGGGGAAUUUUGGACAAUGGGCGCAAGCCUGAUCCAGCCAUGCCGCGUGAGUGAAGAAGGCCUUCGGGUUGUAAAGUACGUCUUUCGGUCCGGGUAAGGAAA